AAGACUAAGAGGAGAGA
This 17-nucleotide microRNA is filed under the name Corchorus olitorius. Its description in RNAcentral is "hsa-miR-44". The record is from RNAcentral. Lineage: Eukaryota; Viridiplantae; Streptophyta; Magnoliopsida; Malvales; Malvaceae.